This is a long non-coding RNA of Cucurbita moschata (crookneck pumpkin), 397 nucleotides long. RefSeq lists it as uncharacterized. The transcript is spliced from 2 exons. The record is from RefSeq and is a predicted model, not a curated record. Lineage: Eukaryota; Viridiplantae; Streptophyta; Magnoliopsida; Cucurbitales; Cucurbitaceae.
AGUUUUUUUAAGUAUGAAAGGUACCUGGCCAGGCACAAAAACUUUCCCAUCAUAUUCAACCGGAUCAAAUGGACUUCCACUAGCAAAGAUCGCCCGGCCCUGCAGGACUUGGACUGUACCUGGCUCCAUGUAUAAGCCUCUUCAGCUGUACACUCCGACUGUGAUGUAGGAUUCGAGAGAGCAAGGAUCAGUGGUUUCUGCAUAGUAAUCGAGACUCGAGUUAAACUUAAAUAACUUCUUGUCUUAGAAUUGAGGAAUGGAGAAGUUAGAGGGGACAAGGAAGAACCUCAUUGAUGGAUGCCAUGGCCUCCACAACUUCCUUUGUAAAUGUCUUCCCAACACCAGAUGUUCCUAUCAACACAGUUGGCCUGAUUGCCUAUAUAAUUUGAAGUUUUAA